Long non-coding RNA from Cornus florida, 1858 nucleotides. RefSeq lists it as uncharacterized. The record is from RefSeq and is a predicted model, not a curated record. NCBI's taxonomy places the organism in Eukaryota, Viridiplantae, Streptophyta, Magnoliopsida, Cornales, Cornaceae. The transcript has 2 exons.
CUUUGAGCCGUUGUAGAACAUUGAGAGAUGUUGAUGGGCCUUUUUAAAACUUUUACAUUGGGCUUUACUUCUUUCACCCAGACCCAGUCAGCUAAAGGCCCAAUAAUUUCUUUUUUAUUUGGAAACGAACUAACUUACAGAACUCGAACUAGGUUUAGGGCACACUGUUCAUCAUUCAAACAUUCUUUGAGAAUCAGAGAGAAAUCGCUGCAAAUCUACUAAGCUCCCCUCUUUACAGGCAGGAAUAUUCUCAUUCAUAGGUUCGAGAUCUACGUCUAUGAAAGGUCCGAAUGAUCAACAAUGCAAUCAGUUGUUACUAUAAAAUUCUCCUCUAGUACCAUUUAAUUCUACAAUUGUGUGUUAUAUACUACUUAAACACCGACGCAAUGAUAAAACCCAUAAAAAUAGUUGUAUUCUUACUUAUGGGUCCGUGUUUUAUAAUCUCUGUGUUUUUCGGAUGCUAGCAGUAUCAUGAAUGAAGUUGUCUGCACUAUGUAGGUGCUUCUUGCAAUGAUUAAAGAUUAGGGUAGAGAAAAAAGAUUAACGAUGAGGGUAAUUUUGUUGAUUAACAGGGUUGAUAUUUUGUAAAUUAAUUAAAUUAAAUAAUCAGAGAUAAAUAUGACAUUUCUUGGAAAGUGGUUUUGCGGAUACCUAUCUUGAGCUUCUCAUCAAACGCAUGCCUCAAGUUCUUUCUGCAAAUCUUGAGCGUUCCAUCAUACCCAAAUUCAAGUUUUUUCAAGACUUGAGUUUUUCUUCUAGCGACGUUGUGAAAAUUGUUUUGAAUAACCCAUCGAUUCUACUUUAUAGCGUUGUGAAUCGGCUUGGCCCAUCGAUUUUAGGAUUGAAGGGUGUUUUGGGUUCAAAUAUGGAUGAUGUGUCUAGGGUUUAAAAGAAAAAUGGGAGGAUUUUGAGGUAUGAUUUUGUGAAAACUGUGAUACCCAAUAUUGAAUUGAUGAAGAGUUGUGGCAUUAAUUCGUCGCAAAUAACUCAAUAUGUCUGUAAUUACCCAACUGUUUUCAUUCUUAAAUUGACGAGAAUUAGAGAAUUUGUCAAGAUGAUUGAUGAUAUGAGCAAUUGACAGGAAGUGUAAGAUGUUUUUUCACGCGGUUCAGGUUCUUAGUUUUAUGAGUAAAGAGAAUUGGGAGUUGAAAUUGAGAGAAAUUAUUAGAUGGUCCUGGUCUAUUUGACAUUUGGUGGACUAAUUCAAUAAAGACCUUUCGAUCAUGAAAUUUAGUAAUUUAUUAUUACACUCUUGUGGGACAUUUUCUCUAUCUAAGAGUCUGUAUUUAGAGGUGUUUAAGAGUUUGGGGUUUUCGAAAGAUGAUAUUUUGUCAAUUUUUAGGAGAGUGCCUAUUGUUUUCCUGGAGUCAGAGAGGAAAAUUAAGGCUAUAACACAGCUUUUCCUUAGCACGGACAAAUAUGAUAUAUCAUUUGUUAUUAGUAACCCAGAUUUACUUACUCUCAGUGUUGAAAAUAGGCUUAAACAGCGGCUAAGAGUUAUGGAGGUUUUGGAAAGGAAGAAUUUGCUUCUUAAAAAGCGGAGUUUGUCGUAUGUAUGCAAGAUGAAUGAUAAGAAUUUCUUUGAGAACUAUGUACUCCCUUAUUCAGAUGAAGUUGGCGAAUUAUUCAAGGUUAACAAGGGGGAGCAAUAGUGUGUGUAUUUUAUCUACCAAAAAGAAGAACAGUUGUUAUGGUGAGGCGUUGCGUAUCAAAUCUAGUUGCUAUUCUGAAUUUUGUUUUGUACCUUUCUUAUCAUGUUUAUAGAAAGAAAGGGAGAGCGGAAUUAUUAUUAUUAUUUUUUUAAUUCUCUUGUUUGGGGAGUCUAUGAUUCUGUUAAUGAAAUUCUAUUUCUGUUUUA